AGAGAGGUCGUCUUCCCCGAUAUCGAAACCAAAAAUUAGGGUUCAUAUCCUCUUCGAUCUACACCAGCUAUGGAGGAGAUUUGAUGAAUUGAGUGAGUCAAAUCGACGUGAAGAACCUCUGUGCCAAGCUUCAAUUGCGUCUUUUCUUCUUCUAUUAUAAUCCUCUGAAGCGUUACGUAACAACCUUCUUAAAUGCUUCCAUGAUUUCUGAUUCAUUUUGUAUCUCACUUUAUCCCUUUACCAAGCAAUGGAUCUCCACCUAUAAAAAGGUAAGGCCUCAUCUCUUAAGAAUCAUCCUUACAAAUCCAAUAUCAUUUGAUAUUUUUUUCAGUAUAAUAGCUAACUCCUCUGUUCUACUUGCUGAUCUGAGUUCUGGGUUGUUCUUCCAACGUGGAGGUGAGGUUGCUCAGAUUCUGGAAGUUGACAUGCUUCUCAUCGAUUCUAAGAGAAGCAUUGGAUAACCUUUAGUGGAAAAAUCCUUAACUAUCAGACCGCAGUGGCACAAUUGGUGGAACUCCUUGGAGAUGAGAAUGCUGCAGCUGAUUUACGAUGUUGGUUUGGGAAGCAAUAGCUAUCUUAAUAAUUAUUUCAUGUCUAAGCUUUACACCACUAGAAGACGGUACAUUCACGCACAAUAAGUUGUUGAUCUUAUCAAUGGGUACAACAACUAGCUCAAUUUAGAGAGAUUGAAAAGCAACCCAGACAGGUCACUAAGGAGAAGCAUGAGUCUGUGCGAGGCCAAGUAUUGAGAAGCCACAGGCAAAGAAGUGAGCAAAGGUCAGACUGAAAGCUGGCGAAAGAAGGACCUAUUACCACUGAAUCCGACAUCCAACACAUUGUCUUCACCUGGAGAUGAAUUCUGGUUGAGAAAUUCUGAUGAAUCUAGUUAGUCUUCCCAAGAUGAUGCGGAGACUUCAUAGAUGGAGUAUUGGCUAAGACGAAGCUGUCAAAAGCUAUUAUCCGGGCGAUCCAACGUCCAUGAAUGGGGCUCAAAAACCCAAACCACCCAAUCCAAUGUUAUGAAUUUUCAUUCUACUUGAUUUUGCAUAUAAGAAUCACACUUGGUUGUAUUCCAUAACAGAUUUGUAAACUACGCAUUUACAAAAGUAGUUAUCAGUUCU
Molecule: long non-coding RNA, 1121 nt
Organism: Brassica rapa (field mustard)
Lineage: Eukaryota; Viridiplantae; Streptophyta; Magnoliopsida; Brassicales; Brassicaceae
Source: RefSeq, a predicted model, not a curated record